Molecule: ribosomal RNA, 1133 nt
Filed under: marine metagenome
Description: bacterial SSU rRNA
Rfam family: Bacterial small subunit ribosomal RNA
Source: RNAcentral
CGAGGAAACUUGUGCUAAUACCGGAUAAGUCUUUACGGAGAAAGCUUUAUGCACCAUUGGAUGAGCCUGCACUUGAUUAGUUUGUUGGUGGGGUAAUGGCCUACCAAGACUGUGAUCAAUAGCUGAUUUGAGAGGAUGAUCAGCCACAUUGGGACUGAGACACGGCCCAAACUCCUACGGGAGGCAGCAGUGGGGAAUCUUGCACAAUGGAGGAAACUCUGAUGCAGCGAUGCCGCGUGAGUGAAGAAGGCCCUUGGGUUGUAAAGCUCUUUCGUCGGGGAAGAAAAUGACUGUACCCGAAUAAGAAGGUCCGGCUAACUUCGUGCCAGCAGCCGCGGUAAUACGAAGGGACCUAGCGUAGUUCGGAAUUACUGGGCUUAAAGAGUUCGUAGGUUGUUGAAAAAGUUAGUGGUGAAAUCCCAGAGCUUAACUCUGGAACUGCCAUUAAAACUUUUCAGCUAGAGUAUGAUAGAGGAAAGCAGAAUUUCUAGUGUAGAGGUGAAAUUCGUAGAUAUUAGAAAGAAUACCAAUUGCGAAGGCAGCUUUCUGGAUCAUUACUGACACUGAGGAACGAAAGCAUGGGUAGCGAAGAGGAUUAGAUACCCUCGUAGUCCAUGCCGUAAACGAUGUGUGUUAGACGUUGGAAAUUUAUUUUCAGUGUCGCAGGGAAACCGAUAAACACACCGCCUGGGGAGUACGACCGCAAGGUUAAAACUCAAAUGAAUUGACGGGGACCCGCACAAGUAGUGGAGCAUGUGGUUUAAUUCGAAGAUACGCGCAGAACCUUACCAACACUUGACAUGUUCGUCGCGACUCUAAGAGAUUAGAGUUUUCGGUUCGGCCGGACGAAACACAGGUGCUGCAUGGCUGUCGUCAGCUCGUGUCGUGAGAUGUUGGGUUAAGUCCCGCAACGAGCGCAACCCUCACUUUUAGUUGCCAUCAUUAAGUUGGGCACUCUGAAAGAACUGCCAGUGAUAAGCUGGAGGAAGGUGGGGAUGACGUCAAGUCCUCAUGGCCCUUACGUGUUGGGCUACACACGUGCUACAAUGGUAUCUACAACAGGAAGCAAGACUGCGAAGUUAAGCAAAUCCCUAAAAGAUACCUCAGUUCGGAUUGCACUCUGCAACUCGAGU